This 170-nucleotide non-coding RNA is filed under the name Clostridiales bacterium. RNAcentral's name for it is "partial 6S RNA". It matches the Rfam family "6S / SsrS RNA", at positions 1 to 162 of the family's 187-position model. From Rfam's summary of the family: E. coli 6S RNA was the first non coding RNA to be sequenced, but its function was unknown until recently. It consists of 184 nucleotides that fold into an extended hairpin structure with a large single-stranded internal bulge. The 6S RNA specifically associates with RNA polymerase holoenzyme containing the sigma70 specificity factor. Lineage: Bacteria; Bacillati; Bacillota; Clostridia; Eubacteriales. The record is from RNAcentral.
AUAGCCCUGCUGUGUUCGUGAGGUUGCGGGUGAAGUUUUGAGCCAACACCGUCAACGAGGGAACCCGGUCUCUGGGGGCGGAGGCCAGGCCUGCGCCGCCAGGCGUUUCAGGUAGGCCAAAGCCGCCAGGAGGGUACCCACCUGCUGAGAGCAGGUUCAAAAACCACCGC